This 500-nucleotide ribosomal RNA is filed under the name uncultured bacterium. Its description in RNAcentral is "partial 16S ribosomal RNA". It matches the Rfam family "Bacterial small subunit ribosomal RNA", at positions 28 to 507 of the family's 1533-position model. The record is from RNAcentral.
GACGAACGCUGGCGGCGUGCUUGACACAUGCAAGUCGAACGGAAAGGCCUGCUUUCCCUUGUGGAUUGCGGGUACUCGAGUGGCGAACGGGUGAGUAACACGUGAGUGAUCUGCCCCCAACUUGGGUAUAAGCCUGGGAAACUGGGUCUAAUUCCCGAUAGAACUGCAGGGUGGUGCCUGUGGUGGAAGACUAUCUUCUAGUGGUUGGUGAUGAGCACGCGGCGUAUCAGCUUGGUGGUGGGGUAAUGGCCUACCAAGGCGACGGUGGGUAGCCGUACUGAGACUGAGAGCGUCGACGGCCACAUUGGGACACGGACCAGGCCCCGACUCGUACGGGCGGCAGCAGUGGGGAAUCAUGCACAAUGGGCGGAAGCCAGAAGCAGCGACGCCGCGUGGGGGAUGUCGGCAUUCGGGUUGUAAACUACUUUCGAACGCGAGGAAGCCACCUGGUUGGAAGGGUGGUGACGGUAGUGGAAGAAGAAGCACCGGCUAACUACGUG